Molecule: ribosomal RNA, 510 nt
Filed under: uncultured bacterium
Lineage: Bacteria
Description: partial 16S ribosomal RNA
Rfam family: Bacterial small subunit ribosomal RNA
Source: RNAcentral
GACGAACGCUGGCGGCGUGCUUAACACAUGCAAGUCGAACGAAGAGCGACGGAAGCUUGCUUCUAUCAAUCUUAGUGGCGAACGGGUGAGUAACGCGUAAUCAACCUGCCCUUCAGAGGGGGACAACAGUUGGAAACGACUGCUAAUACCGCAUACGAUCUAAUCUCGGCAUCGAGGAUGGAUGAAAGGUGGCCUCUACAUGUAAGCUAUCACUGAAGGAGGGGAUUGCGUCUGAUUAGCUAGUUGGAGGGGUAACGGCCCACCAAGGCGAUGAUCAGUAGCCGGUCUGAGAGGAUGAACGGCCACAGUGGGACUGAGACACGGCCCAGACUCCUACGGGAGGCAGCAGUGGGGAAUCUUCCGCAAUGGACGAAAGUCUGACGGAGCAACGCCGCGUGAGUGAUGACGGCCUUCGGGUUGUAAAGCCCUGUUAAUCGGGACGAAAGGCCUUCUUGCGAAUAGUGAGAAGGAUUGACGGUACCGGAAUAGAAAGCCACGGCUAACUACGUG